GUGCUUGCUUUGGCAGCACAUAUACUAAAAUUGGAACAAGACAGAGAGGAUUAGCAUUGCCCAUCCACUAGGAUGACACACAAAUUCCUGAAGUGGUCCAUAUUUUU
Meriones unguiculatus (Mongolian gerbil) is the source of this 107-nucleotide small nuclear RNA. The record is from Ensembl. Lineage: Eukaryota; Metazoa; Chordata; Mammalia; Rodentia; Muridae.